UUGGCAGACCAAACGGUCGCUGGCGAUUUUUUUGGUUGUUGGCAUGAAUGAUUGUAAGCAUGAAUGAUUGUUAACAUGAAAAGUCGCGGGAGGAAAGUCCGAACUACACAGGGCAGAGUGCCAGCUAACGGCUGGGCAGAGUAAUCUGACGACAAGUGCAACAGAGAAUAGACCGCCACGUUGCUUAAUUGCUUUAAAGCAGCAGGGUAAGGGUGAAACGGUAGGGUAAGAGCCUACCGCAUGACUGGUAACAGAUCAUGGCAAGGUAAACUCCACUCGUAGCAAGACCAAAUAGGUGUUCAAUGGGUUGCCCGCUUAAGAACACGGGUAGGUUGCUUGAGCAUACUGGUAACGGUAUGCCUAGAUGAAUGACCGUUCACGACAGAAUUCGGCUUAUCGGUCUGCCAAUUUU
Molecule: RNase P RNA, 412 nt
Filed under: Moraxella macacae 0408225
Lineage: Bacteria; Pseudomonadati; Pseudomonadota; Gammaproteobacteria; Moraxellales; Moraxellaceae
Description: Bacterial RNase P class A
Rfam family: Bacterial RNase P class A
About the family: Ribonuclease P (RNase P) is a ubiquitous endoribonuclease, found in archaea, bacteria and eukarya as well as chloroplasts and mitochondria. Its best characterised activity is the generation of mature 5'-ends of tRNAs by cleaving the 5'-leader elements of precursor-tRNAs.
Source: Rfam by way of RNAcentral